Molecule: long non-coding RNA, 1131 nt
Organism: Colias croceus (clouded yellow)
Lineage: Eukaryota; Metazoa; Arthropoda; Insecta; Lepidoptera; Pieridae
Exons: 2
Source: RefSeq, a predicted model, not a curated record
UUGAUUUCGUCCGUUUUAAAAGACAUAGUAUUUACACACAUGCUGGCGCUGUUAUGGCAGACCUAAGCUUCGCUAAUCGGUAUAUUGGGAAGAGACUAGCUAUGUCCUUCGCGUACAUGCAGGUUUUUUUACCAAAGCCAUGUACAGUCGCGAAUGGUGACCAUUUGAAAAUUGCAAAAAACGGAUCUCUUGACUCUUUUGAUAAAAUUGAUAAUAUCUGAGCAUGACUUGGCAAUCAAUAAAAAAUUCCCUCACUACCUCUGGCGGAAGCUGAAGAGUCUGGCGUUGAGUUGAGAUGUCGAUUUCGAAGGAAAUGUAGACCUACAGGAGUGAUUUCACUAUGAUAACAGUGUCAAUCAUUUACCCCCAGCACCAUACCUUCGGAAUUAUACGACAUAUUGAUUUGAGACACAAUGAAGAUUCAAAAAGUCAGAAUUUUUACCAUCAACAAAAUAUUAUUGCUGCAGAAUUACAGCCAUUACAUGAGGUGUGAGAUGAAUCUUCCCUACUUCUCAGUAGUUCUUCAGCCACAGCAUCAUGUUACUUACCAGAAAUACCACCCAAUGUUUGAAAAUUUAAAUAAUAUAAUACCUUACAAAUUAAAAAACAGGCAGACAAUGGAUAUAAUAUAUGCCAAAGAAUCCAAAAAAAGCGAUUUAAAUUUCCUGUUCGUUUUGGUACUUCAGGCAUGGUAUACGACUUCUUUGCAUACGAUGAAGCAAACACAUUUCAAACUGUACAAUUUAGUGAAUGGGAAGAGGACUUUCUUGGUGUAUUAGAUAAGUUCUCAGGCUAUGUAAUACUAUUUCUAUUCCAAUUCUUAGCAUAUUCUUAGGCUGUGAUUUUUAGUACUGUCGUUUUUUAAAAUCCAUUAUUUUUAACGAUAUCGUUAAAGUUUUAACCAACAUUUUAAGACAGACGUUUGAAAAGCUUAUUCUAGAUCCUCCAUAAUUAUAAUUUGAUAAUAAUUUUGAAUUACAGAGUUGAAAAUGUGCAUUGUAGUCAUGUACCACGGUUGCAGGAAUAAUGUACAAUGUCCGUUAUAUGUGACGGUUCGAACAUGUACAUAUAAUUGGCAAUGUCCGUUUUAUGUGACAUAGUGAAAACAAUAGAAAAAAUUAAAAUUUUUAA